UAUAGUUAAGAUCUUUAAAUCUAAAGAAUUGGGCGGUAUCUUAAUCUAUUCAGAGGAACCUACCCCGUUAUUGAUAGUACACGAUUAACUUUACUUAAUUUAUUUGUUUGUAUAUCUCCGUUAUCAGAAAAUCUUUUUAGAGUUAUAAUUUUCUUAAUUUAUAAUUAUAAAAUAUUUCAGGUCAAGGUGCAGCUUAUGAUUAAGAGGAGGUGGGUUACAAUAGAUUUUUUUUAUAUGAAUUUGAUAAUGAAACAUUGUUAAUGAAGGUGGAUUUGAUGGUAAAUUAAUUUAUUUAAUUUAAUUGAUAUUAGCUCUGAGGUGUGUACACAU
RNAcentral lists this ribosomal RNA (330 nucleotides) under Oxya chinensis. RNAcentral describes it as "partial 12S ribosomal RNA". The record is from RNAcentral. Lineage: Eukaryota; Metazoa; Arthropoda; Insecta; Orthoptera; Acrididae.